This is a long non-coding RNA of Hemicordylus capensis (graceful crag lizard), 1410 nucleotides long. RefSeq lists it as uncharacterized. The record is from RefSeq and is a predicted model, not a curated record. NCBI's taxonomy places the organism in Eukaryota, Metazoa, Chordata, Lepidosauria, Squamata, Cordylidae. The transcript is spliced from 4 exons.
GAGAGCAGAGAGGGUGAGCAGGAGGCUUGGAGGGGGAAAGGGUGUACUGUUCAGGAAAGAUUGCUCUAGGGCGUAAGUUGAGGCAGGAGGUAAAUCUGCUCUCUAUAUGUUACUGACCAUUGAAGCAGGUCAGUAACAAAAAAUCCAUGAGAGGCACCCAAACCCCAAGGUGGAGAACGAAAAUAAGGAAAGAACUACAACUGUUUAUUUCACUGAGAGCAAAGGGGGUGGAACAACAAUAUUUGGGUAAAAGAGGCACAGGAAAAUGGCUGGCCUAGUUUAUUAACAACAACAGUAAAACAGAGGGGUCUAGUGGAUAACAAGGCAGCUGAGGUCAUUAAUAACUAACUUUGUCCACAAGAGCCCCAGACGCACCAGCAUGCAGCUAGGCUACAAAGGGCACUCUCACCUUAACAAGCACAACAACAACAACAACAACAACAGCUGCUGCUACUGAUGCUGAUGCUAAUGCUACUGCUGCUACUGAUGCUGAUGCUAAUGCUACUGCUACUACAGCAGCCAAUGGAGGGGGCUGGCCUUUGGGGGUAGGCUUCAGGGGUAGAACAGAGGGCUGAGACAAGUUAUGCUGCUGCUUUAAGAACUUCUUUGUUUACUUGCUAGACUGUAUGCAGGUUUCCUGCCAGCUCUUUGACCCUGGGGAGCAGUACCAAGCCCGCGCAGGACCUUACCUUGCUUCUCUGGAAUGUCAGACACCAAGGCCGUGUUAAUACACAGUGGAAGGCAGAGCAUGUGAAGAUAUGGUAGAUGUGAUAAUGAACUCCAUCACACUCUAGAGAAUGCAGACUCAUGAGGUUAUGAAGGAGCAAUGCAGCCCCAUCAGAGUAAGACCGCAACAGAAUAAGGAGGAAAAGUUGAAUAAGUACUAGACAGAACAUGUUUAUAUUGAUACCCAAGAGUGACUACAGUACUGUACUGACUGCAUAUCCUGCAAUUUAAGCGCAUUUAGCUUAUUAACCCACACAAUUUCCUUCAUCUUCUUUGCAACAUGCUUUUCACUUUAAGCCUUGUAUUUUGACAUGUUUACACAUCAGAGGCACAGAGUAGCCAUGUGACAGGACGCAUAUGUACAGAACUGACAAUGGGCUUGGAUGAAAGUCAGCCAUGCUACGGAACAGCCUCACAGACAAUGCCAUAAAUAACAGCUGCGACUCCAAAUAUGCAGGAACCUCUUCCUUUUCUUGUUACCCUGUUUUGUUGUGGAUAUCUCCCUGUCAGUGUAAACAUACCUGGAGUCAGUAUGGGACAGGGCCACUUUCAACUAAUUUUAUCACUGUAUACCAGGAAGCCAGGCAAGGUAAAGUGAAUUUAUACAAAACCAGCGAGUCAUCACAGCCAAGGAAAGCAAAUCUGUUUUCUAAAGUGUAUAUUAAGAUGAUAAUAAAAUGUGGU